Molecule: non-coding RNA, 71 nt
Organism: Phrynosoma platyrhinos (Desert horned lizard)
Lineage: Eukaryota; Metazoa; Chordata; Lepidosauria; Squamata; Phrynosomatidae
Source: the annotation of a GenBank genome assembly
ACCAGUGUGGUAUAGUGGUUUGUGUGUUGGACUACAGCUCGGAGUCCAGGGUUCGAAUCCUUGCUCAGCCA